This 253-nucleotide ribosomal RNA is filed under the name uncultured bacterium. Its description in RNAcentral is "partial 16S ribosomal RNA". It matches the Rfam family "Bacterial small subunit ribosomal RNA", at positions 524 to 776 of the family's 1533-position model. The record is from RNAcentral.
GACAGAGGGUGCAAACGUUGUUCGGAAUUACUGGGCGUAAAGCGUGUGUAGGCGGCUACGCAAGUCGGAUGUGAAAGCCCCGGGCUCAACCCGGGAAGUGCACCCGAAACUGCGUGGCUCGAGUACCGGAGAGGUUGGUGGAAUUCUCGGUGUAGAGGUGAAAUUCGUAGAUAUCGAGAGGAACACCGGUGGCGAAGGCGGCCAACUGGACGAGUACUGACGCUGAGGUGCGAAAGCGUGGGGAGCAAACAGG